Pelobates cultripes (western spadefoot toad) is the source of this 216-nucleotide non-coding RNA. The record is from the annotation of a GenBank genome assembly. NCBI's taxonomy places the organism in Eukaryota, Metazoa, Chordata, Amphibia, Anura, Pelobatidae.
CUUGGAUAUUACCAUAUUCUCCUUUCUCUUCCAGCUUGACUUCAAAGUCCAGGUUAAGGCUCGCAUACCCUCUUAUUGGAGCCCGCCUUUUCAUUUGGAUUUGUUGUCCUUGUUUGGGAUCUCAAGAAAGAGGAAGUAGAACUGGACACCGCCUAUAAUGCUACGAAGAGGAUGCUGAUUGGCAGUUCCUGUUGCUAGGAAGAUAUACCUAGUUAU